RNAcentral lists this unclassified non-coding RNA (214 nucleotides) under Glomeraceae sp. RNAcentral describes it as "partial contains 5.8S ribosomal RNA and internal transcribed spacer 2". The stretch from base 1 to 71 matches the Rfam family "5.8S ribosomal RNA", at positions 84 to 154 of the family's 154-position model. Lineage: Eukaryota; Fungi; Glomeromycota; Glomeromycetes; Glomerales; Glomeraceae. The record is from RNAcentral.
GUGAAUCAUCGAAUUUUUGAACGCAAAUUGCACUUUCUGGUAUUCCGGAGAGUAUGCCUGUUUGAGGGUCAGUUAAAAUAAAAUUCGGUGUGGUGGUUGCUUUUGGUGGUGAUGCACCGGAUUUGGGUGGUCUAGCCUUCGGUUAAGUGACCUAAAUUUUUGCAUGAUUUUUUAGAAUGUAUUUAAAUGAUUUUAAGUACGUUUGCAAUAUCUA